ACAGCUCAUCACAGGGCGGUGGUCACCGACUGACCACUCUCACACCAAACGAGCUAUAUAAGAGCUGAUGUCAUCUUCUGCAGCAACACAAAAAGAACAUUUCGAUGGAGAAAUUUGCUCAAGAUAUGAAGGAUCUGUUUCUCAGCAUACUUGAAGCUAUCAAAGGAAGCAAAUUAUCAUCUGCAGGAAAUGAAGAUGAAGAAGAAGCGGAGUCUGAAUCUAUGGAGGAAGUAAUUGUAGAAGAGAGAGCUCUCAAGGACGUCAAAGGUCCGACACGCCCUACUCCACCCAAAGGUCCCCCUCCGCAGACAGAUUGAACAAUUUUAUUUCCCUUUUGUAAAAAUUUUUAGAAAAUUAUUUAUUGCGUUUAGAUUUAUUUCAAUGAAAUGAAUAGAGUUUUCGGAUUUCUUACUCUAA
Molecule: long non-coding RNA, 417 nt
Organism: Manihot esculenta (cassava)
Lineage: Eukaryota; Viridiplantae; Streptophyta; Magnoliopsida; Malpighiales; Euphorbiaceae
Exons: 3
Source: RefSeq, a predicted model, not a curated record